UGUCGGUCCCUCCCCUUCCGCUUCGACCCGCCCCGCUCCCUGAGAAUGAGACGUGAGAGCUGUUGGGUGGCGCGGGGAAAGGCGAGUGUAGUGAGGCGGUAGUUCUCGCUGUGAGAUCCGGGGUCCGAGCAGGCCCUUGGAUGAAUUGCAGAGAGGGACGUUCCUUCUCUCCUUCCACCAAGUCCCGGCGGACCUCACUGCGCCCCGCCAACGCUCUUCAAUGGAAAGAUCAGAACCACUAGGAGAAACACAGCUCCUUCAAAGAGAAAGACUAAGUCUUGGGAAAGAAGCAGAUAAGUGAGGUGAAAUAUUGUCAGCAUCAUAGACACCAACCGAGGAUGGAUGCCAGGCACUGGAGGAAUAUGUCAAGAUGGCAAGUUUGCUGGGUGCAGUGGCUCACGCCUGUAAUCCCAGCACUUUGGGAGGCCAAGGCGGGUGGAUAACUUCAGG
Molecule: non-coding RNA, 450 nt
Organism: Macaca mulatta (Rhesus monkey)
Lineage: Eukaryota; Metazoa; Chordata; Mammalia; Primates; Cercopithecidae
Source: RefSeq, a predicted model, not a curated record